RNAcentral lists this unclassified non-coding RNA (287 nucleotides) under Hevea brasiliensis (rubber tree). Lineage: Eukaryota; Viridiplantae; Streptophyta; Magnoliopsida; Malpighiales; Euphorbiaceae. The record is from RNAcentral.
AAUUCCAUAGUUUUCUUUCCUCCAGGCCUAAUUUUCUCUUCUUGACCAGUCCAUGCGGUAGUUCCCAUGGAAAGAUUUCCAUUUUGGUUGUGUGUUACCACAUGUUGCCUUGAGUUCUUGGCCAGACGGUAAAAGGCAUCACGAAAGCAAAUUCGAGUCUUCUCUGUCAACUGUGCCAUCACCAUUUCCAGCUCCUGUAAAACAGAUUCUUCAAGAGAUGUUUCCUCAUCCUCAUGUUCAUUCAUAUUUUUAUGCUCAGAAGGGGCCAAGACUUUGAUUACCGGUUC